CCUGACGCAGCGACGCCGCGUGAGUKWUGAAGGCUUUCGGGUCGUAAAGCUCUGUCAAGUGGGAAGAWCCCGUGCCGCACAAAUAGUGCGGUGCGCUGACGGUACCACUGAWGGWWGCACCGGCUAACUCCGUGCCAGCWGCCGCGGUAAUAYGGGGGGUGCAAGCGUUAUUCGGAAUCAUUGGGCGUAAAGAGCGCGUAGGCGGUCUUCUAUGUCAGGUGUGAAAGCCCGGGGCUCAACCCCGGAAGUGCACUUGAWACUGGGAGACUUGAGUAUGGGAGAKGGAAGUGGAAUUCCUGGUGUAGCGGUGAAAUGCGUAGAUAUCAGGAGGAACACCGGUGGCGAAGGCGACUUCCUGGACCAAUACUGACGCUGAGGCGCGAAGGCGUGGGGAGCAAACAGGAUUAGAUACCCUGGUAGUCCACGCAGUAAACGUUGAACACUARGUGUAGCGGGUAUUGACCCUGCUGUGCCGCAGUUAACGCAUUAAGUGUUCCGCCUGGGGAGUACGACCGCAAGGUUAAAACUCAAAGGAWUUGACGG
RNAcentral lists this ribosomal RNA (543 nucleotides) under uncultured bacterium. RNAcentral describes it as "partial 16S ribosomal RNA". It matches the Rfam family "Bacterial small subunit ribosomal RNA", at positions 382 to 916 of the family's 1533-position model. The record is from RNAcentral.